GGAAGUAAAUAACAAGGUCUCCGUAGGUGAACCUGCGGAGGGAUCAUUACAGAGUUCUCGCCCUCGCGGGUAGAUCUCCCACCCACUGUUAUCGUUACUGUGUUGCUUUGGCGGGCCGCCGGGCCCCGCUCGGCCGCCGGCUCCGGCUGGCGCGCGCCCGCCAGAGGCCCAGCAAACUCUGAAUGUUAGUGUCGUCUGAGUACUAUAUAAUAGUUAAAACUUUCAACAACGGAUCUCUUGGUUCUG
Molecule: unclassified non-coding RNA, 246 nt
Filed under: plant metagenome
Description: partial contains small subunit ribosomal RNA, internal transcribed spacer 1, and 5.8S ribosomal RNA
Source: RNAcentral